Molecule: ribosomal RNA, 426 nt
Filed under: uncultured bacterium
Lineage: Bacteria
Description: bacterial SSU rRNA
Rfam family: Bacterial small subunit ribosomal RNA
Source: RNAcentral
GUGAGGAAUUUUCGGCAAUGGGGGCAACCCUGACCGAGCAACGCCGCGUGCAGGAAGAAGGUCUUCGGAUCGUAAACUGCUUUUCUCGGGGAAGAGAAUGGACGGUACCCGAGGAAUCAGCCCCGGCUAACUACGUGCCAGCAGCCGCGGUAAUACGUAGGGGGCGAGCGUUGUCCGGAGUUACUGGGCGUAAAGCGCACGCAGGCGGUCGUGUAAGUUUGGGGUUACAGCUCCCGGCUCAACUGGGAGAGCGCCUUGAAGACUGCAGGACUUGAGGGCCAGAGAGGGACACAGAAUUCCGGGUGUAGUGGUGAAAUGCGUAGAUAUCCGGAGGAAUACCAAAGGCGAAGGCAGUGUCCUGGCUGGUGACUGACGCUGAGGUGCGAAAGCUAGGGGAGCGAACGGGAUUAGAAACCCGUGUAGUCC